UGGUGCAUAAGGAGGGGUCUAUUCAGAGAGAAUACUAUUUUUCUUUAGAUAAUCAAGAAACUCACUGGAUAAAUAUUUUUCUCCUUGAUCAAAUCUAAGAAUUUUAAUAUUUUUUUCAAUUUAUUUCUCAACCAUCUUUUGAUCCUCCUUAAAUUUUUUAAAAGCUUCAAAUUUGUGUUUCAUAAAAUACAUAUAUCCAAAUCUUGAUCGAUCAUCAAUAAAU
Molecule: long non-coding RNA, 223 nt
Filed under: Elaeis guineensis (African oil palm)
Lineage: Eukaryota; Viridiplantae; Streptophyta; Magnoliopsida; Arecales; Arecaceae
Description: long non-coding RNA (EGUI_LNC039928)
Source: RNAcentral